UGGAACAUAACGUUAGAGCAAUUAAUUAACCCUCCCUAAUUUCUGCAUACAUAUUAAUUUGGUGGGAGGAAUACAAAAUAUAAUCAACCAAGUACGAGUAUAUAUGGAGUCACACACACAAGUGAUGGAACGUAUAAUUUUUUUAUUUGACAAAUAUAUAAUCAUAUAUAGUGGCACCCUCAUAGAUUGAAUGUGGAUUCGUGGUCCUCACCAUGAUCGAUCGACUAGCUGCAGAAAGGUGAUGAAAAUAGAAAAUUAUGUAAUUUUUUACAAGUAAUCAUAUUAUUAUAUUCCUGAUGAUCUGGAUAAUCAAUGUUAGCUAAUUAAUUUCUUCUUGAUGCAUGAUUAAUAAUAUUCCUGAACCCUGAUACACAUAAUUUCAUCUAAAAGCAGUACUGGGAUCAACUUUUUGAGUGGGCAAAAUCUUUAAAUAAAAGGAGCUACAUACCUCAAUUACUUGCUACAUUAAUGUGCUACUAUUUAAUUAUGGCAAAGCCUAAACAGUCUUGUUAAUUUGAUCUUCUACUACCUCUCUCCAUCCUUUUCCUCCCAACACAAGGCUCUUCCAAAAUCGUCGACAGGCCUACAAAUUUUCUUGCAAGAACAAAGAUUUCGAAAUUGAACAUGAUCAGGUAAACGUGACAUCAAUUUAAUUAUUUACUUGCUAUCUAUCUAUAUAAAAAAAUCAUACUACUCACCUGAUCCAUAAUUCUUGUUAUUAUGCUGUAGUUGAUGAAUUUGAAUUUGAAUUUCAGUUUGUUCCUUGGCCUUAAUCCUUGCUGCUCUGAAAAGCCAUGUGGCCUCCAUCUGCUUGGUGAUCAUACGCACGGCGUGAUACGCAGCUUGAGGCCGAAUCCGGCCUCUGAUCUGAUGAAGACGAUGCAGUCCAUCAAGCUCUCUUUAGCCCUCCCUUUCAUGUCAUAAGCCUGCGCUCUGAUCCAGAGGCUUCCGGCGUGGGAGUUUGGAGGAGACGAGAGGCAAAGAGCACGCGUUGCAUCACUAAUGGCGGCGUCUGCAUCCCUCAGCAGCAGAUGGCACUGCGCCCUAUUGCUAUACAGCAUCAUCCUCUCAUUCCUAUGCCUCAAUGGGCAUAUCUCAAGACCCUCACCAUAUCUCAACACAGCUUCUCCCACAUUUCCCACCAACAGAUCAUGAUUCCCUUGCUGCUUCAUCAGCUUCGCCACCACCCUUCUCUCUUCAACCUUGUCUCUUGACAUCAACUUCUCUCUCUUCCUUCUCUCAACCAUCAAUUUGGAGUAGUCAUCUUCAUGUUCAUGUACAAGUAAUGCCCUAGUGAUGGAAUCUCCCACGUUUCUUCUGUUGCCAAGAUUCUUCAACUCAAUCAAAUCCACCAGUACUGCAGCAGAAGAUCCGACAACGGCAUUGCAUCUCGUAUCCGGAUCCUUGAGAAGCAAGAGGAGGCAAUCAAUCCCCAUAUACUGCCACUCAUCUGAAGAUCUUGAAAUGUUGCAUAGAUUCUCAAUCACAUGCUUGGAUCUUGAGAUGCUCUCCCUCCCAAUUUUAGUGUGGCAUAGGAUUCGAAUCAGGCCUAUUCCAGCUGGCGACGCGUGAUUGGCUAAUCCACCCCAUACUUGGCACAGCGCCUCGAGGAAUCCCCUCUUGCACAUCAGAUGCAAACACCUCUCCUUCACAGCAAAGCAGUUUAAGAGAUGGAUGCUCCAACACUGCAGCUGGCUAGCCCAUUCCUCCGCCUUCCGAUUCUCCGUCUCCGCCCCUCCGGCGCCUCGAGUCAGCAGCUUGCACUCAUACCUAACCCGAUCCUUCACUCCCACGAACUUUCUAUGCACCUCUUCCAAGCAAGAAAUGGCCAAAUUCAUGGCUAAUGUCACUACUUCCUCUUCAUAAACCGCGACGGCCUCGAACGUCUUCUCGUAGCUUGCAAGAUGGCCGAGUGCCCUAACGGCCACCCUCUGCUCCACCCAGCUCAUCUUCUUCCCUCUCAGGAGCUCCAACAGUGGCUGCACCGCUCCCGAAUCAACGGCCCUGGCCGCGGAAUCAGCUCUGUUCAUGGUGUAGGAGCCCACUAUGUGAGCUGCAUAGUAAGGGAUGUAGAUGUUUUGAUGCUUGAGCAGCCAACAUCUGUCAUGGAUGGCUUUGUUCAUCAAGAUUGUCAUGCACUCGAAGAGGCCUAGAGAGAGAAGCUCCUCGUCGUCAGGUCGAGUCAUUGCCACGUUCCACAGCUCACUAACCACCAAGAUGAGCUGUUCAUCGUCAAGAAAAGGUAUCCCUUUUAUGUAAUCUUGGAUUGUGCUUCUCCUGAUGGAUGAAUCUUGCUCCUUCAAUAUGCAAAAGAAGCAACUAGAUUUGGUGCAGAUUUGCUUGGAUGACAUGAUGUUUGAUGAGAUAUAUUAAGUAUCUAUAUGGCCCAAAGGUUAUUGAUGUUUUGCUUUUAGGGUUUGAAGAUAUGAGUGGAAGGUGAAUGGAUUAAUAGAUUUAAAUUUUAAUGAAUGUAGUGGAUUAGGCCGAGUAGUGAGCCUAAGCGGCGCAUUAGAUGGCUUUCUGUAGUUUUGAGAAUUUGAAUAAUGAGCAUAAAGUUAUGCGAUCAUUGUUUUUUCACACAUCAGAUAGCAAGAAGUUGAGUCCUGCCUAAUUUCUUUUAUUGGGAUUAAGAUGGUGUUUGGCUAAGCUUAUUUUAAAGAGCUUAUAAGAUGUAAUUUUUAAGAGCUUAUAAGUUGUUAAAGUGUUUGGAUAAUUGAGCUUAUAAGCUAGAGAGAAAAAAUUUUUAGAGAAUGAAUAGAAAUGAACUAAAUGAUUAAUGAUGAAAAUAAUAAAUUAUAGUUGAAAAAUAUUUGUAAAAUGAUAGUUGCAUAUGAGAUUAUAAAAAAAUAAGUUGUGGUAGAGGAACUUAUUUUUUGAGGAGCUUAUAAGCUCUUAGAGCUUAUUUUUGGAACUUAUAAACUAUUUAGGAGCUUAUUUUGCCAAACACUUUGAAGGAACUUAUAAACUUCUGGGUUAUUUGCCUGUAAAUACACGAGCUUAUAAGCUUAGCCAAACACCCUCUAAGAAAGGCUUAAUGUACAAUGAAUCUAGCUAGUUACGCUUUAAUUGUUAGUGUUCACUAGAUAAAAUUAAUAAUUAAACUUUGUUUCAUGUCUAUUCCUUAAAUAGAAACUCUUUUGUCUUAUACGGAAUAAAGGGUCAUAUUACAUUAAAAGCCUACAUGAAACAGUAGUUAAUAUCUCAUUAAUAUUAUUAUUACUUGGGAUUGCGAGGGAAUUAACGACAAUUGUGUGUGUGUGUGUGAAGAUUAUCUCAAAUUAAGCAAAGCUAAUUUCAGACNNNNNNNNNNNNNNNNNNNNNNNNNNNNNNNNNNNNNNNNNNNNNNNNNNNNNNNNNNNNNNNNNNNNNNNNNNNNNNNNNNNNNNNNNNNNNNNNNNNNNNNNNNNNNNNNUAUAUAUAUAUAUAUAUAUAUAUAUAUAUAUUUCAGAAAACACAGCUUAAUAAAUUAAUAUAAUUUCCUGUCUCAAAAUAAAAUAUAAUUUUCGAACCAAUGUAAUUGAUGUAAUUAAGUGGUCCCUUGUCACUUACAUUUGUGAAGCUUCAUUUACUAUUAAUUAAUCCUGCAACUACUCAACAACACAUUUUUAAUUUAUAUUAUAUGAAUUAGUACAAAUCUGGGAUGGUCUCAAGGGUUCGUAGCGAAUGACAUAAAAAGCAGUUUUACCAAUCCAUGGAUCCUUAAUUAUUUGUUAUAUAUGUAUAGAAUAAUCACUGUUAUUCAAUUUUCUAGCUUUUUCUUGGUGUACACAGAGAUCAUGGCAUGCCUAAUUAUAUUAAAUUUGUCGCAUUGUGUAGAAAGGUCCCUUCUCCCUUUCAUAAAGUUAAUCUAUUUUGUCACUAGUGCCCCUAAUUUAUUAAUUUUUUAUGCUUCAUUUUGAACUUGGAAUGAUGACAAUUAGUUCUUGGUGAUGAUGUUCUAGUAGGAACAAACCUAGGAGGAAGUGCGAUGAAUCUUGUUUUCCGAUGAUGCCUUAAAUUUGAGGACAACUUCAUUAUUUAAGUGUGUUCAUUAGGGUUUUCCAUAAACCCUAAUUAAUAUCUGUCCUCCUGCAUAAGAAGUUUCCUUUAUUUAAUGUAUCAUCUUUGAAAACUGUCAAUCCUAAUAAGCAUAUGUCAAGAUUCAGCUGCCCAUAUGUUUUUUUUAUUAAAAUACAAGCAUAAUACUAAUAAUAACGAACAAUAUUUUCAUAGAUUAUAUAGUUUCAAUAUAUCACAAAACUUUUUUUGGACAUUCCGUAUAUUUAAGUCAUUUUUUAUUAAAAGGCAACAUAAUAAUAUAAUAAUAAUAUAAUAAUAUAUAAAGAAAGAGAAAAAAUGGACGAAAAAAUGGAGGGAGAAUAUACUAAUAUUUAUAUAGCAUAAAUUAUAUAAUACGUUAUAAUUUUUAUAUGCAUUUACCCUAAUUUUAAAUUAUUUUUUAUUUUAAAGACAAGUAUUUGUAAUACUAACAUCCCAAAAAUUAGAUUUUACACUACAAAAAAAUGCGAAAAUAGCGGCCAAAAUUAGCGACGGCGAAGCCACCGCUGGCAAUUACCGACGGCACGGCGGCGGCAAAAACGGCGACCCGCCUUUUGCCUAUUACCGGCGCAUUACCGACGGCAAAACAACCGCCGCUAAUUAGCGGCGGUUGUGCCGUCGCUAAUUUAAAUAUAUGUUAAUUUAAAUACAAAUUAUUUAUUACCGACGGCGUUGCCGUCGCUAUUUACCGGCGGCAAGAGGCCGCCGCUAAUCACCACCGCCGGUGACAUCCGGCGAUAGCACCACCGCCGUCCGGCCAAAAUUACCGACGACAUUUUUCCGCCGCUAAUUACCGACGGCAAAUGCCGUCGGUAAUUUUUUUUUAUUUUUUUUAUUUUUAUUUUUUUUUUCAUUUAUCAUACUAAAAUCAGAUCAGAUAAAAUACUAAAAUUAAAAUUAAAUAUAUAUUGAAAUACAAGUGAAAAUUUAAACAUUGAUUAUUACUAAUCAAAAUUAUUACUAAGAAUUCAAGAUUCCUAGUAAGAAACUUAUAAUUAUAACUAUAAGAAUAGUUUAAUUUGUAUUAGUGUAUCCACUUGAUUAGUGAUCCACUCAUCAAUCAUCACUAAUCUAAUAUUAUUACUAAGCAUUCAAGAUUAUUAGUAAGAAACUUAUAAUUAUAACUUAAUAAUGUUAAUUUGAUUAGUGAUUCACACAUCACUCAUCACUAAUGUAAGAUAUUACUUAAGAAUUCAAGAUUCUUAGUAAGAAUCUUAUAAUUAUAACUUUAAGAAUGUUAAUUUGAUUAGUGAUUCACUCAUCAAUCAUCACAUCUAAUAUUAUUCUAAGCAUUCAAAAUUGUUAGUGAGAAACUUAUAAUUAUAACUUAAUAAUGUUAAUUUGAUUAGUGAUUUACUCAUCACUCAUCACUAAUCUAAGAUUAUUACUAAGAAUCUAAGAAACUUAUAAUUAUAACUUAAUAAUGUUAAUUUCAUUAGUGAUUUACUCAUCAUCACACUAAUCUAAAUUAUUACUAAGAAUUCAAGAUUCUUGUAAAACUUAUAAUUAUAACUUAAGAAUGUUAAUUUGAUUAGUGAUCACUCAUCAAUCAUCACUAAUCUAAUAUUAUUACUAAGAUUCAAGAUUUUAGUAAAACUUUAAUUAUAACUUAAAAUGUUAAUUUGAUUAGUGAUUCACCAUCAUCAUCAUAAUGUUAGAUAUUACUAGGAAUUCAAGAUUCUAAGAAUCUUAUAAUUAUAACUUAAGAAUGUUAAUUUGAUUAGUGAUUCACUCAUCAAUCAACACUAAGGAUAACUUAUGAAUUGAUGUGAAAUAAUAAACUAAAUAAUGAUAAAAAAUAAAAAAUCGAAAAUUAAUAAUAAAUUAAUUAAUAAAUAUUUUUCCGACAUAAAAAUAAGAACGGAAACGAGCCCAAUCCGUAAUUAACAACAUUUUUUGUAUAUCAUCUCGACAUAUUCUAAGGUUAUGAAUAUAUAUGAUAUUGUAUAUUGAAGUAGACUUUAAAUGAAUUAAUAGAUACUAUAUAUAUCAAUAAUACGAGUGUUCUGUACUGGUGACCAUUCGAAAAGAACUUCAAGGUUAAGCGUGCUUGACUUAGAGCACAACUAAGAUGGGUGACCGACUGGGAAGUUCGUCUAAAUUAUGCAAUACUGUAUAAAUACCGAAAUAAAUUAUGGAUAUACAAUAAAAUAAAUAAAUAAAAAAAAUAAAUAAAUAAAUAAAAAAAAAAAAAUAAAAAAAUUAAAAAAAUAUUACCGAGGGCAAAGGUUAAUGCCGUCGGUAAUUACCGACGGCAUUUUGCCCUCGGUAAUACCUUGAACAACUCCGGCGUGUGCGCCACCACCGUCCGGUGGAAACUACCGACGGUAAUCUCGCCGCCGCUAAUUACCGACGGCAUUUGCCGUCGGUAAUUUUCCGGCAACUCUCCGCCGUUCAACGGCGGUAUUUAACGGCGGAAAUGCCGGCGGCUUCGCCGCCGUUAAUUGCCGGCGGCGGUCGAUCGCCGUCGGUAAUGGCGUUACCGACGAACCGGUUAGCGACGACGAGUUGCCGCCAGUAACGCCGCCGGUAGCCUUUUCACCGGCGGCCGUCUCUUAUUACCGACGGCAAAAUGCCGUCGGUAAUCGUACGUUUUUUUGUAGUGGGAAUACAAAACCACCAAAUUGAUUUGUUGUGUAAUAUAUUAUUUAAAUAUAUUAUUUCUUUCUUUUCUUAUUUUAUAUAUAGAACAUAUUUUUUCAUUUUCAAGUAAUUAUGUGAUAGAUAAAAUAUAUAAUGUACAUUUUUUUGUGAGAAUAUAUGUGUUAGAUAAAAUAUAUAAUGUACAUUUUAAAUGAAAGCUUAUAAAUGAUAUUUCAGUUGAUAUAUAAUAUGUAAAAAAUAGACUUAAAAUAAGUAAAUUAUAAUAAUACAUAUAAUAUUUUAUAUUUAUAAACAAUGAUAUUUACUAAUUAAAAUUAGAACCGUAUUUCAGUUUUUUAAAAAUUAUCAAAAUUGUGUAUUUUUAUAUCAAAAAAAUUAUUGAUAGCAUAUUAUGUAAUUAUCAUAAAAAUGAUAUAAUUUAUUUUAAGGAACACUAAUUCAAUAAUCUAAUUGUUAUAUUAUUAAACGAAAUGUGUGAAANAAUUGAAUUAAUUGAUUGGGGCAGAACACAACCAUAUUCUACAGUAACCGGCGACUGUCUCAAGAAUAUACGCGGCUGUCAUGAGAGGGAGAGAAGCGUGUAGUGACCGAUCUUCAUAAAAUAUUAUAGUGUAAAUGAUUUCAUUACAACUCAUCAUGUGAAAAUGUGUUGCUACAAUCUUCAAAUACAUGUGACAUAUCAUUCUGCUUCACUUGUUUGUGCAACUUUUAAACAAAGGGCUUGAAAUUUAGUUGUUCACUUGUAUGUGCAACUUUAAAAAGAAAUUUAAAAAUGAAAUAUGUUGCCUGCUCAUCUACUCCUAGAUUCAAGGUGCUCGUCUUCCCCCGUCCCUCUCCUAUUUCACUAUUUGUCUCUCAUUUAUUAACUCAAUAUUAAACCCUAAAAUCCUAAAUCAAUAUUGGUGAAUUGGUGAUUUGAUUGAGUGGAUGCAAAUUGUUGUUUUUUUUAGUUUUAACUGUAUGUUUGUAAAUUGAAGAUUAAUUUUUGAAUGAUUGUUUGGACUCGUUCAUUGAAAAAUUGUAUUUCUACAAGUUUCUGAUGAUGAGGUUGUCAAUCGCUUUUAACAAAUGAAGACCCGUUGAAGAAAAUAGAUAACUAUGUAAUUUUCUUUUAUAUUUGAAGUGUAUUAUAACUUUAAAAUUGAAAAAUAUUAUGAAAUAUACUACUUAAUAAUGAUUAUGACAAUAUGUAAUUAUGCAAAAUGAUAUUUACUCACUUUGAAAAGUAAAAAGUACUCAUAAUUUUAUAAAAUAUAUAAAUUUUACUCAUUUAGUACUUUUUUAUUCUUAUGUCGAUUAUUAGUGCAUUUUUCACUAGUGUUUCACCAUUGAUACUUGAUUGUUCGACUCGCAGUGAUCCAGUAUAUCGAUUAUUAGUACAUUUUCUAGAAUUUUCGAUCAAUAAUGCUCAACUGCUCAGUCAUUACGAGUCGAGUAGUCGAGCAUUAUUGAUCGAGAAUUCUAGAUGCAUUAUGAGUCGAGCAUUAUUUACAUAUAAGAACAUUAAUCUAAUUAUAUACUUUUGAUCAAAGGUGAUGAUACCGACGGGGGGGGGGGGGGGGGGGCGGCUGAAGCCCCUCCCAAUUUGGAGUUUUAAAAAUAUAUAUAUAGAUAUAUGUUUAUAUUAUAAAAGNCAGGGCGUAGCCAGGGGGGGGGGGCUGAAGCCCCCUCCCAAAUUUUGAGUUUUUUAAAAAAUAUAUAUAGAUAUAUGUUUAUAUUAUAAAAAAAAUUUAUUUUACAAAAGUUGAUUAGCUUGUUAUAUUCUUCCAUUUAUAAUUAAUUUAAGGAUAAUUGUGUUAUUUAAAACUAUAUAAUCUAUAAAAAUAUUAUACAUUAUUAUCUCUAUUUGUUUUUCUUUUAAUGAUAAUGUGUUAUUUGGAAUUGUAUAAUCUAUAAAAAAUUGUUUUGUUGUUAUUAUUAUGCUUGUCUUUUAUUAUUAUUGAUUCUUGCUUGUAAUUUAUUGAAAAUAUAUAAUUUAUGAAAAUAUUGUUUGUUAUUAUUGUUAUUAUGCUUGUCUAUUAAUAAAAAUGUCUAAAUGUACGAAACGAUAAAAAAAAGUUUGCAAUGUGUUGAAAUUAAUUUGUAAUAUAUUAAAACUAUAUAGUAUAUGAAAAUGUUGUUCUUUAUAAUUAUUAUUAUGCUCGUCUUUUAAUAAAAAAUGCUUUAAAAAUACAGAAUGUCCCAAAAAAAAUUGUAAUGUAUUGAAACUAAUUUGUUAUAUAUUUAAAUUAUAUAAUCUAUGAAAAUGUUGUUCUUUAUUAUUACUAUUAUGCUUGUCUUUUAAUAAAAAAAAUGUCUUAAAUAUACGCAAUGUCCAAAUUUUUUUUCGGAAAAAGGGUUUAACUUUCCACAAUAUUAAUAUUGCAGAUACUCAAAAAUCAAUCACUAACAACUACACUAUUAUAUACUCCCUCCGUCCCACGAAGCAUGACACAGUUUCCUUUUUGGUCUGUCCCACGAAGCAUGACACGUUUUUAAAAAUAGCAAAAAAUUAACCCUUUAUUCACAUUUUCACUUUUUCACAUACCACACUUAACACACAAAAUACCAAUUUCUUAAUUCCCGUGUCGAAAAGAAAUGUGUCAUGCUUCAUGGGACGGAGGGAGUAUAUAUAUAUAUCAAGAAUAUGUAUUUUAAUAUUUUUGCAUUAGACCAAUCUACUAUUACUAUGUUAAGAGGCAAAAGUCAAGCAGUAUCAUGCACACUAUGGCAAUAACAUUUGUGCAGAUUAUGUAAUUUACUAUCUUUGUCUCAGGCCAAUCUAGUAGAUUAAAGAGGCCGAAACCCAUUAUGCUGAUCAAGAAUGUGUGCGUGUUGAGAUUUAUCUUGUUUAGCCUUCCAACGAAAAUUACUUAUCUUGAAACACAUGAAUUUAUUUUAAAAUGUUUAAUUUUUAAAUGCGAGUAUAAUUUAUGAUGUGGUGUUGGGGUUAGGCUAGAUACAUGGAUUACUUUGAAGAAAAGCCCAUCAAAAGUUUAAGUUUGUGACACAUAAUAAUCUCCGAGCCCAAAAAUCUUCAUAAUAGAAAUCUUGGCCCAUCUCCGAAUCACGAAAUGAAACGGGAGUGGGAUUGACAGUCACACUUUUCGCUUCGGAAAGGGGAAAAUGGUGCUAACAAAUUUCAGUGGAGGAGGUGUCGGUUUUGGUGAGCUUUUAUGUCAUUCUAUUAACAAUUUUUGCGAUUUGUUCCAUGAUUUUUGCUUACUGAAAAUCUGUCCUUCCUUCUUUUUUUGGAUAACUGGAUUUUGAACUGGUCUCAGGUUUCGGAGUUGGCUGUGGUUUUGGAGUUGGGUGGGGAUUCGGAGGUUUGUUACUCUAAAUUAUUCUGUUAAGCCUACCUUCGUUUUUCUGUAGAUAACAAAAAUUGAGCAGAGAAAAAUGGGGAAGGACAAGAUUCUGGAUUCAUACAAUCACGAUUAUUGAUGGUUCUUUUUUAUUUGCUUAGGAGCUGGUUUUUCAAGUGCUUUUUUUUGUUAUCCAGCUGCAUUCUCCUCUGUUGAUUUAGUAGCAAAUGUGAAUUUUGGUGGAUUAUUUUUGGUUUUCUUCUUGACUUGUUUGUUGGACAAACCAAUAAAAUGGAUGAGCAUAUGAAUUGAGUAUAUGUGUCUAUCUAUCUAAAUACGUCUCGCUAUUAUUCAUUGUCAAUGUGUGGUUUAUUGCAAUAUAUGAAAAUGUAUCAUACUUGAGUUGGCCUUUUGCCAAUGAGAAGAUAUAGGUUACAAUAUUGAUGUAAUAUAUGAAGGUGAUCUUAAUUUCAGUAUGCAUCCAACUUGUUAUGAUGCUGGCUGCAUUUGUCAGUGGCUAGUCAAGUUUAGAUUUUUCGUGCAUUUAAAUUACUAAACAAGAAGUAUAGCUUUUGUUGAUAGUUAGUUCUGCUUCAUGAAUUGUGCACCUGCUUCCACAUUCAGCAUAGUGAAGAAGAUGCAGCAUUACUUCCAUGUGACCAUUCUAUUCGGUAUGUAGCACAAUAUGAAGAACUGGAAGGAUUUGAAUAGCUCUACAUUAAGGUAGUAAUUGUAUGUGGUCUGUUACUUUUCCAACUUACUAGGGAGUUGGUGUUGUUAUUUGGACCAAAGAAUUAGGAUAAACCUCUCAUAGAAUAUAAUAGGUGUAGCACCCCAGUGGAAUUUUUAGACCACUGUUUAUCAUUUACUUGACCUGCAUGUUGAGAUGAUUGUAUAUAGGGUCACUUUUGUUGCUCGUCUCUCCAUCUUUAUCGAAACUUGAUUCAUAGCAUCUGUGUCACUCAUGGUGGGUAGUUUCAAACAUAACCCAAAUGCUUAGUCAGAUUGCAAUUUCCAAUCAUAUAGGAAUUCUACUGUAUAGUGAUCAAAUUACCUAAAACAAAUACUCCCUCCAUCUCAAUAAAAGUGACAUGCAUUCAAUUUUGAGAUGUUCCACUAUAAGUGGCUCGGACCACAAAUGGAAAAAAUUUAACUCUUGAAAAAGUGUGGGCCCUACUACUUUUAACCAAUUUACACUUUCUCUUUAGUUUCCGUGCCCAAAAGUUUUGAGCCACUUAUAAUAGAACAGAGGGAGCAUUUGACUAUGACUUAUCAAACCAUUGCCAUGCUUUGUUAAUCUGAAAUCUUGUAUGGACACUGUGAUAGCUUGUACGGACAGAGGGAGUAUUUGACUACGGCAGUGUUAAACGAUAGUUCGUGAAUCGCUUCCCUAAGUUUGUACGUAUACCGUGAUCUUCGUUUUUCCAGGCUACAUUGUCAUAGAAUGGUCUAUUAUCCUAUACUACCAUAUAUUGGACUUGGCCAUGGUUACAUUCUGCACUGGUCAUGCAUCAAGAAAGAAAUUAUUUCUUGAACUUACGUUGCUCUUUAUUUCAGGUGCACCCUUGAACCUCUUUGGACUUGGUGUAGGUAGAAUCUUGCAAUAAUAUGUUUGUACUCUGCAAUUGUUUCUUCUAAUUAUCUCUACACUAACGCAUUCAUUGUUUGAUCUGAAGGUGGUGGCUGCGGUGUCGGGUUGGGGCUCGGAUGGGGAUUUGGCGCGGCUUAUGGCAGUCGGUACUAUAGUCCUGGAUUAACAUUCCAAGGCGUCGAAUUUGCCAAUAAACCUAGUGAAGAAAAAGAUGCCAAAAACUUGUCAAAGAACAAGUAGAAAAAGUAGGGUUGUCACUGAAAUAUAUCUUUCUCAAUGAAAUGCCGAAAGCUUUUGUAGUUUGGAAAUAUAAUGAAUAGUUUGAUUUCAUAUGUCAUUUUCCUCGUAUGCUUGGCAUAGAAAGCAUUCCGUAUCGCAGACUGUUUAUCUAUCAUUUUGUAUUUCACUUUUACGUAAGGUGUUGUAGAUGCUAACUCUAUCCCUCAAAAGUUUGCCCCAAGGAGAACGACACAAGUUUUAAUAAAAACUGGUAAAAAGUUAUUUGAUGGUGGAAUUAUGUACAAAAAAUAGUGUUUAAAGAAUUGUAAUUAUAAAGCUGAUGGUGGAAUCAUGUACAAAAGUAAUAAGUAAGGGGAUUGGGACAAAUUUUUUAGAGGCAUCAAAAGAGGAAAUUGGCAUCAAAUUUUUUAGUGUGAUUGAUGAAUCAUAAAUGGACCUGUAGUUGCAAAGCCUGCAGCACAUAAGAGAGUAACUCUGAAAUUAUAUCGUACCAUAUAAAAAGCAUGAGAUAACUACACAAUAUUGGCCUUUCCUAGUUCAAACGGAAAUCAAUAUACACAAGUCACGAAAAUUUAUAUACAAGUUGCCUUCGAUACAUGAAACCAAUGAUACAACAGAAGCGACUAUGACAUUUAAGUUUCUGAAGUGGAAAGAUCGAUACUACAACAGCAGCUCCAAAAAUACAACAUUACAACAAGCCUCAUCGCCCAGAAGAAACAAAAACGGGUAGUUGUGAUGUUGCCAAAGCAGCUCUGGCAUAAUCAUGGAUGCUAAAUUACAGUUCUCAUCAAUGAAUGCUGUGUAUCAUCUGUUUAGGGCAUGGUAAAGCAAUCCCCCAACUAUCUGAUUUUACAACAGAUGAAUCCUGAAUUAGAAUGGAGAAACGAAGCUCUCCCCCUCAGAUUGCACGCAACGCCAAUAAGACUGCAGACAAAACAAUAUAAUAAGUAUAUCGAGACAACUGAAGCUUCAUCUCUAAUAGUUUCUAUUACACUACAAUCGCAGAGUUACAGACAGAAUAGACCAUAUAUAUUAACUAGUAGAGGCAAACACUUUCACAUGUAUAUCAUAUUCACAUCAGCAGUUUCCAGUAUUCAUGUAUGGCCGUAUGGGUUUUGCAACAAGCUCUUGAUUCUAUAUAUGCAAUAUUUGCAUGGAUUUAGUUCUGUGAUUCCCAGAAUACACUGCAUUAUUUUUGAAAUAUUCAAGAAAAGAACUGUCAUGAGAGAUAAUCAUGAAUUUCAUGUUCAUCAAUAGAUUUUUAAUAGGUUAAAUAAGUUCCGUAAGUUACAAAUGCCUAGAUUUCAUUUUUUUAAUUUCUUUGGUGCAUGAUGCAUGUAAUCCUUUCACUAUUUUAUUUUGACAUAAACAGAACAAUAAUUGAAAUCAAAUUGGUAGCACCAAAAACAUUUGCCUCUAGGCCACAACAUGCUCUAAAGAAGGUACCACACUCUUAUGUUUUAUGAAACAAAACAUUUUAAUUAUCGGUUGAAAUGCCUUGUAAGAAAAUUCCGGCAUCCAUGUAGAAUUAAUUGCUGCCAGAAUUUUAAUUUGGGCCAAAUUCCAAAAUGUUGAAAAUUCAUGUAUUGAUUGACCAAAAAAAAUAAUGUUGGUUAAAAACGAAAAUUUGGGUAUACUUCGUGUAUUUACUAUUUACGGGAAAUUAACCCAUAAGGGAAAAAGUGCAAAGUAUGAUACAAAAUUACGAAAGUUCCUACCCUGAAGGAAAAUGGAUGCAAUAACUGAUGGGGUUGUAUAUAAGGCAAAACCAUUGGAACAUUUGAUAUUGUAGUUCAUACCAAAUAUGUUUAUCAUUUACUAAGGAGCUAUGACACGUGUAAGAUUAGGAAAAAAAUUGACAAAGUUACCGUAAAAUUUUAAUGUGACAAGUAUGAAUAAUCUCAUUAUACACUUUACAGGAAAGUGGAGAGGGAAAAAUAAUCUAGAGUGGUACUAUUAUUGUAUAUAGCCUAUAACUCAAGGAGAAGGAUCAAUUGUAACAAUAAGAAGUUUAAAAAACCAUAUCAAAUUGCAAAUGCAGUCGAAUCUGAAUCACUACAAGAAAUGAAACAGUUACCAUAUAGCAAAUAGAAAAUCAGCAGGCUCACCGAGUAGGCAGAGUAUGAGAAUGACGGAGAAAACAAAUUGGACAGGCCGACUAUAUUGCACGUGAUAUUGGGAUCUCUGAAGCUGUCUCUGGAUACUACCAUACCAACCAUACCAUUGUUUUUCAUAAUCAUCACAGCCUUCAAGGCAACUUUUACUCUUCUCAUAGCACGUAUUAAUGCCCUUCAUGUACAAAAAAAAUUAUGAUCAAAUUAGCAACUCAACUACAUAACAAUAUAACAAGCUUAGAAGAUAACAGUAGAAAUAAUCAAGGAAAAUUGACUACUAACUCUAGUCAAAAUCUGGGCUCUAGGUAAAGUAGCACCAGCAUCCUGAGGCCCAUCUGUAGGCUUUAGUUUCUUGUAACCGUUCUUUGACCACUUCAAUUGCGACAUGGACGAUUCCAUGCUAUUUAAGAAUCCUGAAAAACUAGGUAUCUUUCGUGGGGGACGAUCAGGCUUUGCACUAGAUGAAUCGUGUAGAACAUCAUCAGCUACAGCAAUCUUCCAUGAGCCAAUGUCUGCACUUGCACUAGCUGUCCUCCGAUGACCUGAAAACUUGUCCCCCUUGCCCUCUACUUGAGCCAAUUCAACCAAAUGAGAUGAACUCCUCGAACACUCAUUAUUCACUUGUUGAUCACCCUCUAGCGAAUUUUCCUGCCCCUGCUGAUGCUUUCCAAAGAGUUUAUUUGGGGAAGAUAAUGAUUGUCCUGAAAGAAACAAUGCAAGCUCAUUUCGUUCUCCUUCAUCCAACCGCACCCAAGGCAAUGGUGGCUUGCCUUGUCGUACUGUCGAUUCUUUCAAAGAGGUUUCAACUUUUUUUACUUGAUUCUCUAUUGCAACAAUGAAAUCCCGAUGCCUAUCCUUUGCAUCAUCAGCUGAUCCACUAUUUGGGUAACUCGAUCUUACAGCACGUCCAAAUUCUUCCAACUGCAAUGCAUCACACCCACAACCUUUCAGUUAAGCAUAGCAUCCCAAACAAUUUCACAAUACAUAAACUCACACAACGAAAAACCUAAGGCUAUAUAACAUAAGAUCACACAGAUGAAUCAUUACAUGAGUAUAACAUAAAACAUAAGCAAAUAACCUGCCACUUGGUUGUGCCAAGGGUUGUUUGAAGAUCUCUCCGAAGCUCAUCCAAAUUCCAAGAACCGGAGGGCUCCUUGAUCGCAUGAAUCCAUGUUCUAUAUGUUGAUUCCAUCCUUCACAAUGAAUUAGAUAAAUCCCAUCAGUUACAUCGACAGAAUGAUUGUUCAAUUAACAAAUUUCCCACUACAAAACAAUACAAGAAAUCCAGAGAUAAAAUCAUUCAUUUAAAAACUGCGUAAAAAAUGGCUAAGUUGUUGAAAGCACCUGUCGGAAGAUUCCUGAACGUCCUCCGCAGCAGAGAAAAACGGAUCUUUUUCCCAUCUAUCAAACGUUGAUGUCAUUUCUCCCCCCAAAAUACGAGCCCUUAAAUUAAAUCUACAAAUUGGGGCCAAAAAUCAAAAUGAAAAUGCCUAGAGAACAAGAACAGCAAAACCCUAGGUGGCGCUGAUCAAUCUGUGUAUCUCUAGAAAUCAAACGGACAAAAAUGUUCAAAAAAUCAAGGAAUAAUUGAAAGAGACAACGGAAUCGUAAAAAACGGCGGUCUUUUUUUGUGGAUUUGGUGGAUCAAUUGUGGUAUCGUGGAGCUGCAACUGCGGGAAAAGACGAUCUUUCUUUUGCAAUUAUCUGAAGGCAACGGUGUCAUUUUCGGUUCUUGGUGGCUGGCUUACAUUGUGGUAAGCGGUCAAAAAAAUUGUGCAUUUUUUAUUUAAAAAUUAUAUUGUCGGGUCAUUUUGUUGCUGUGACAAACUCAGCUUCUCCUUCAACACAACAUAUUAUUGGGGGAGUUUUAUUUCACUACUAAAAGAUCAUAAUGCAUUGAUAUCUGUAUUUUUUAUUUCGUUUAUACUUACUGUAGAUGAGAUGAGAAUAAUUGAUUAUUACUAAUUCUGAUAGUAUGUGAAGCAGGUGAACGUAAUGAAUUUAAAUAAUAAUUUAUCAAAAUAGAUGGUUUUAAUUUUAAUUUUUUUUCUAAAGACCACACGACGGAUGACUCGAACCCAGGACCUCGGGUCUUGGAUAUUAACCUCCUACCGCUAAAUAAAUUUUAUAUAAUUAAUCGCUAAAUUAUUCUUAAAAAUUAAAAUAAGUAAUAAUGUUACAUGAGCAUAAUAAUAAUAAUAAUUUGGACUUCUUCAUAACACGACGGAAAUAUAGAAAUAUGGUAAUUAUUUGAUGUAAUUAAAAAACAACGAUGAUAUUAUGAAAAAAUAAAAAAAUAUGUAUAUUUUUUUAAAAAAAAUAUUCAAAAAAGAAUGAAAGAGGAUAGAAUUUUUUUUAAAAUUUUAAUGUUUAAAUAAAUAUAACUUUUACAUUUUAAAUUAAAUAGUAUAUAAAAAAAUAUAUCUUUAAAGCUAUCAUACUAUUGUAUUUAAUUCUGAAUUAGUGAUUUACUAGAUCGACGUAAAAGUAAAAAAGACGUAGAAACAAUAUUAUAUAUAGAAGAUAUAGAUCAAUGUUAAAUAGAUUAUCAUUUACAACAUAUGAGGAUGAUGCUCGGCAGUCCGUGGUCAACGAGGGUAAUUGAGCGGUCCUCUUAUUAAUAUUUUACGUGAUUCUCUGGCAAGAUUUAGAUGAAUGAUUCUCCAAAGACAUAAAGUUUCAUCGGAAUGCAUCUGAACAACUUUUGUCAUCUCUGUAAAGAUGUUUCCUACCCCACCCCAUACCACCCCCCAAUCCAGCCCACACCACCCCCCAACCCUCCCCAUUACCACCCCCAAAAUAGGCAUGUUUCACAUGCAUAUAAAAUCAAACAAAAUGCAUAAAGUUUUCACAUAAAAAUGCAUUAAAUUAUACAAAAAAUGCAUUUCAUUUUAAUAAAUCUGGUAGUUUCGCCACCCCACCCCUGCCCCACCCCUCCCCACCCCACCCACCCCCCCCCCCAAAUUUUUUUUUUUCAAAACUGAUUUCUGAUUGCUGGCCCACCCCCACCCCCCCCCUCCCCAAUUUUUUUUUUAGAAAAUCGGUUUUUGAGAAAAUAAAAAAUAAUAAAAAAAAAUUUAUGGGGGGGGGUGGGGAUAGGGUGGGUCAGUGGUCAGAAAAUCAGUUUUUAAAAAAAUAAAANUUUUUGGGGGGUGGUAAUGGGGAGGAUUGGGGGGUGGUGUGGGCUGGAUUGGGGGGUGGUAUGGGGUGGGGUGGUGAAAAUACCAAAAUUGGAAAAAUUAAAUGCAUUUUUCUGUUCAAAGUUAUGCAUUUCAUGUGAAAACUUUAUGCAUCUUUGUGUGAAACUAUAUGCAUCUAAAAUAUAUCUAUUUUGAGAAAAUCUAAAAAAAUAUAUAUUUUUUUAAUUAUUAAAUGAAAUUACAUUCCAAUUUUACCCCUCCAGAUUUUGCCUUGGAAUCCUUGCCACGUGUCACCAUCUUGAUGCGCCACAUGUCAUAAAUGUGUGGUCAAGAUUUGGAUCUAGGGAUCUAUUAUAAGCAUUGGGAUCUAUAUGAUCCCAUUCCUAUAUAUAUAUAUAUAUAUAUAUAUAUAUAUAAUUUAUAAAUAAACUUUCAAUUUUAAACUUGAUAAUAUAGUACAUGGACAAGUACAUAUUUCAUGCUAAUAGCAUCCACAGCAGAUCUCUUAAAAGUAAUCCUAAUUUUAAAUUUAAGCUAAAAUAAUAAAAAGUGAGAUAAAAUGAUCAUCCAACAGAUCACAUAAAGUUGGGUCCAUAAAAAAAUUUACACUCCCUCAAAUUUAAUCCUAAAUUUACAUCCCUUUUAAAUCUAAUUCUAAAUUUAUAAAAUAGAUAAUGAAAAAUAGGAGAACUGCUGUGUGCAAUUGUAAAAUAGGGAUUAAAAAUAAUUUAGUAAAGACUUUAGGAGUAUUUUUAGGAGUAAAAUUUUGAGAGAAGUGCUGUGAAUGCUAAAUCACUCUUAUUUACUGUUGUUAUAUUACUCCUAUUAUUUUUAAUUUGGAAUAGUUAGUGGCGCAAGUAUCAAAACCCUCCUCCUGAAACUGCCGUCGGACGAUAGGGUUUAAGGCGGCGUGGUCAUGGCGAAGAACCAAGAAGAAUCACUCUGCGAGGCCGCGCGAAACGGUGUGCUCGAGCAAGUAAAUUCUCUGAUUGCAGCCGGAGCUGAUGUCACCUACUUCGACGCUGAAGGCCUUACGCCGCUUAUGCACGCCGCCAGAAAUGGCUGCUCGGAGGUGGUCAAAGCACUCCUCGACGCAGGUGCCCCGUGGAACGCUCUAUCUCCUUCAAAUAUCUCCGCCGGAGACUUUGCCAUGGAAAAUGGCCAUCAAUCCGCCUUCGACAUCCUCCUCAAUGCUGGUCCGUCUCUUCCUGCUUAAUUUUCUCCUACUAGUGUGUGUGUGUACAUUUGGUUUGUUAAAUGAGGAAUCUGGUUGCAAUGGCUGUGCUGCCGGGUGUUUGGUGAUUGAAAAUCUGUUUAUUUACAUAACCGUAUCAUUUAUGUAAUUCGUAUUCGUCCCUGUGCUUUAUAGCUUAGAACGAAAUUUAGAUUUUCGGAGGUUAAUUUGUAGCCAAUUGGUACAUGAACACUACAUAGUGCUUGUAUUUUCACUUGGAUUUGUCUAUCUGCAAUACAAUUCCUCACCUUACCUAUGUGUCAUGAAGCACAAAAAUCUGUGAGAAACUUGCCUUUUGAAAGAGCAAACAGAGUUCAUUAUGCAAUAAGCGUGUGUACCUGCAAGCUCCUUCCCCCCACAGAGUUGUAGUUUAUUUUCAUGAUAUUGGUUCACCAUCAAAAUGCUCAUUUUCAACAGUAGCUUUUAUACCUUAACUCAUCUACUAUUUUUCUCUCUAACCAUUUAUGUAUAUUUACUAUCUGAUUCUUUUUCUUUAAGCUCUUCUUUUUAUAAAAGAAUUCUAUUGUUCUUUGUUUUUGACUUUGUUAAAUUGACGGCGACAUAUUUGAUUAUUUAUAGGCAUUCAAGCUGAAUUGGUUCUUGGAACUAUAGCAAGGAAAAACAAUGGAAAGGGAAAUCCUAAUGGGGAUUAUUUGGAUGAGAGGGUUACAUUUAGUGAGGAUAAAGUAAUGGAUGCAGAAAGCAAGGCUAUUAUGAUGGCCUGGGAAAGGCCACUAAUGGAAGCUCAUGCUAAAGCUAUUUGCUCGGGAGGUGGCCACAUAUUGAACAUUGGGUUUGGCAUGGGUCUUGUCGAUAAUGCCAUACAGCAAUAUUCACCCAUGUCACACACCAUUGUCGAAGCUCACCCAGAGGUAUACGCUCGUAUGCUUCAGACUGAGUGGAGUGAGAAGGAGAAUGUGAAGAUAAUCUUUGGCCGCUGGCAAGAUGUCCUUUCUCAACUGGAAUUAUAUGAUGGUAAUAUAUGCGGAUUAAAGUCUAUCUUUACUCUUUAGAUAGAUUAGUGAUAUAACUGAUAGAAUAAAAUUUUAUAUUUUAUAUUUUUAUAUAUCUACCUUCUAUUGAAGAUCUAGUACUGCUUGCGUAAACAAUCCCUCCAGUUAACUGUUCCAUCUUAUCCCAGGGAUAUUCUUUGACACUUAUGGGGAAUAUUAUGAAGAUAUGAGAGAGUUUCACCAGCAUCUUCCGCAAUUAUUGAAGCCUGGGGGAAUAUAUUCAUUCUUCAAUGGACUUUGUGGUAGUAAUCCCUUCUUUCAUGUUGUUUACUGCCAGUUAGUUUCGCUGGAACUCGAGAUGUUGGGCUACUCCACACAGUUGAUACCCUUACCAGUGAAGGAUUGUUUAGGAGAAGAAACAUGGGAUGGUGUGAAACACAAAUACUGGCAGUUGGAUACUUAUUCCCUCCCUGUUUGUCAGUCUCUAGAUGAUUCUGAUUGAUAAUUUUUCUCAUUCCUCUUCCUCCUAUUGGGUUAUGAAUACAUUGUACUGUGCUUGAAUGUAGACUAUUAUUCACUCGUUUCGGACUAUAGUCUUAUCAUCUGGCUUUUGAUAAUGAAGUUCUCUCUUGUUUCAAUUGGUGCUUCAUAUCUGACUGAUUUUAACUUGUAAUGUAUACACUUGUUGAAAAAAAAAAUGAAAUUCCUUAAUGUAAGAUAUGCAAUUGUGUUUUCUAGGCUGCAGAUCAUUAUUUUUGGUUUAACAUUUGGGUUAAGAAAUGUUAAACCACUUAUCUCUCAAGCCUUUGAAUAUGCACCUAAUUUAUUAAAAGGAGGAGACCGACAUGCCUAUAGUGGAUGCUGAUUUUCUACAUGUUCCAUUACCGUUGCAUCAUAUGAAGUGUUGACGAAAUGCAAAUAUAAGAUAUAUUUAAAGAAUUAUAGUUAUGCUUUUAAAUUUGAUGGUUGGUGGACGCAUUCAAGGGAUCCUAAAAAGAAUAAAGCAGAGGAAACUGCAAUUUUAUGGAUUUUUUGCUCAUAUUCAGUACUUUGAUUAGCUUCAGGAAUGUUAUCCACCAAAUCCUGUUCGAGAAUGGGGGAGAAAACUUUAAAAGGUUGAAGUAAACAAAAGAAAGUAAUCAAAACAUGUAGGGAUGAAUGCUGGGCUAGUACUGAUUGCUACUUUUUCUUAGAAUGUUGCUAUUUUUUUUUUUUUUGAGGCAGAACCAGAGAUUAUGUUAUAUCAUAAUGAAUCAAAUCUAAAAGCCAGCUAGGAUUUUUUUUUUCUUCUUAGAAUGUUGCUAUUAAUUGCUUUACAUUCAUCACUUUUAAUUUUCUUACAAAGUUCUCAUUUCACAUACAAGAAUCAUUAGACAUAUAUACAUUACUACUAUGUCCAGCUAAACACAAUUGGACUACCAACAGUAUGUUUCCCAUCCGACCAUUCCAAAUGAGCAAAGCUGCUUGUGCCUGAUGGCAUUGAAGUUGCAGUGAAUGUCACCUGUAAGUCCUCUUCUCGUUUGGAGUACUGAAACUGAGCACUGCUGGCUGAACCUGGAUCUUGACUGAAUUUGUAUCCUGAGAGAUGGAUACCUUAUAAGUUGCUGGAUCACCCACAUUUGUUAGGGUCCUAGUAUAUUUGACAACUGUUGGUGCGCUACUACCCCCACGUGGACCUGAGGCGGUCUCAAGUGGAACAGCAAAAGAUGGGUAGUUAAGAUCUGCUACCCUGUAAUUCACAUCUGCCUUGCAUUGAUACUCUUGCUUCGCGAUGAGCUUUAUCAUACUCGAACUGUAUCCUAUGGCACAAAGGAAAUCUAUGUAGUUGUUGGUUGCUGUAUCAUAUACUAGACCAGGGUCUAGUGCUGAUAAAGGGUCCACAUGUCCAGCACCAUAAUCAAAUGGUGUGGAUGGCUUUCCAGUUGCAAUAUCUUUAAUUCUUUCUCCAUUCUUGUAUUUACUAUAAGCUGUUGUCAUCAGUGCUGACCUUAUAGCUGCAGGGCUCCAUUCUGGAUGGGCGGCCUUAACAAGUGCUGCUAAUCCACUUAUGUGAGGGCAGGACAUGGACGUGCCAGAAACUAUGUUGAAGUCCACAUGCCGGGUGUCUUCAGGCAAUCCUGUAGGACCAACCUUUCCCGUCCAACCAGCAAGUAUGUUCACACCUGGGGCUAUCAAAUCAGGUUUGAGUAUAUCAGGUGUGAUUAGAUUUGGACCUCUUGAACUAAAUGCUGCUACAACAGGUGAUGGCUGGACUCCGAGCUGGGUGCGUCCAGAUGUAACUAUGGCACUUGGAUUAGGGUCUGAAAAGGUGUACUUCUUUAUCUCCUCGCCUGGAGCCUGACCUACAGCUGCUGUAGGUAUAAAAUGGGCGUCGGCAACCAGCUCUUCUCCGAAGGUAUCCGUGUUUGCUAGAAUCAUUCCAAUCCCACCUGCCUCUCUGACUGCCAGACCUUUUUGUGCCCUUGGAUUCAGCCCUCGGUCGCACACCACAAUCUUCCCCUUGGCUUUUUCUGAGAUUAAGCCUCCUUUCAUGCAUAGAUUACCAUUGGAUGCUCUACUGAUAUUGCCAGCAUAAACCAAUGGGAUUAAGGACCCAGGUAAGGGUUUUCCAUUGUAAAGUGAUUCCCCAGUUAGUUUUUUACCAUUUCCAAGGGUAAUAUAUGAUGGGAAUUGUCGAUCCAUUGUACCAGCCCCCACUGUAGUUAUCCAUGGCGCGACAUUAGAUAAGCUACCCGGACUUGGGCCUCCAUUCCCAGCUGAGCAUGAAACAAGAAUCCCUUUAGACGUUGCUGCAAACGCUCCGAUUGCAACAGCAUCUUGGAAGUAAUCAUUGGCUGAUCCACCCAGUGACAAGGAUAGAAUGUGCACGCCAUCUUCAAUUGCCUUUUCCAUCGCCAUUAGUAUGUCGCUGCUGAGACAUCCUCCCUGCCAGCAUACUUUGUAUGCUGCCACUCUGGCGUGUCUGGCCAUCCCGCGUGCUGUGCCUGCAGCAUAACCAAAGAGGCUUGCUCCAACCACAGGCGAUCCAGCUGCUGUGGUUGAUGUGUGUGUUCCGUGGCCGUCGUCAUCCCUCGGGGACCUGGAUUCUACAGUCUCAUCAACUGGCCCAUAUGCUGCUUCAUAACCUUGUGAGAAGAACCUUGCGCCAAUCAGUUUGCGAUUGCAGCUUGAUGAGCUGAAGGUUUUGCUUGCUUCACACGCUCCCUUCCAGCCAGGAGGGAGUGGGCCUACUUCCUUAUCAUCGUAGCUACUUGAUUCGGGCCAAACCCCAGUGUCUAACACACCAAUGAUCACGUCACUUGGUGUGCCAGACUCAUGUAAGGAUGCAUCACUG
Molecule: long non-coding RNA, 22532 nt
Filed under: Salvia miltiorrhiza (redroot sage)
Lineage: Eukaryota; Viridiplantae; Streptophyta; Magnoliopsida; Lamiales; Lamiaceae
Description: long non-coding RNA (SMIL_LNC005722)
Source: RNAcentral